UUGAUUUGAGAGUUUGAUCCUGGCUCAGGAUGAACGCUGGCGGCGUGCCUAACACAUGCAAGUCGAGCGGAGAUAUAGAGGAGUACUUGUACAAAUCUUUAUCUUAGCGGCGGACGGGUGAGUAACACGUGAGGAACCUGCCCUUAAGUGGGGAAUAACACCGAGAAAUCGGUGCUAAUACCGCAUAACGUCCCGGGAGCGCAUGCUUCGGGGACCAAAGGAUUUAUUCGCUUAAGGAUGGCCUCGCGUCCGAUUAGGUAGUUGGAGGGGUAACGGCCCACCAAGCCUACGAUCGGUAGCCGGACUGAGAGGUUGAACGGCCACAUUGGGACUGAGACACGGCCCAGACUCCUACGGGAGGCAGCAGUGGGG
Molecule: ribosomal RNA, 372 nt
Filed under: Candidatus Saccharimonadota bacterium
Lineage: Bacteria; Candidatus Saccharimonadota
Description: bacterial SSU rRNA
Rfam family: Bacterial small subunit ribosomal RNA
Source: RNAcentral